ACAAAUUAAGAUAUACAAGAAUAGGGGUCAAGGAACACAACAAUGAGAAUAGAGAAAUGCAGUACCAAUAAGGAUGGGCAAUAUAUCAGUAUUUAGUAACUAUCAUGAUAAUAUUGUAGCUAACAGAAUAUAAUCAUUUCUUACUAUACAUGUGAGUGGUACAUGUAAUCAAAUAUCGUAACCCUUAGCACAAGUGUGAUGUAAAAGGUACCACUACUAAUCCAGACUAAGUUACAUGUACUGUGUUGGAUUUUCUAGGCUAGGAACCAUUACAAAGGAUCAUUGUUAUUGUAACAGCUUUGAUGAACACAAUUAUUAGUAAUUAUUGUGAUAUCAAAAUGAGAUAUUGUGCUGGUAAAACAACAUUCAAUAUUUCCACCCUUAA
This is a long non-coding RNA of Amphimedon queenslandica, 385 nucleotides long. RefSeq lists it as uncharacterized. The transcript is spliced from 2 exons. The record is from RefSeq and is a predicted model, not a curated record. Lineage: Eukaryota; Metazoa; Porifera; Demospongiae; Haplosclerida; Niphatidae.